This 419-nucleotide ribosomal RNA is filed under the name bacterium. Its description in RNAcentral is "partial 16S ribosomal RNA". It matches the Rfam family "Bacterial small subunit ribosomal RNA", at positions 355 to 776 of the family's 1533-position model. The record is from RNAcentral.
UGGGGGAUAUUGCACAAUGGGCGCAAACCUGAUGCAGCGACGCCGCGUGGGGGAUGAAGGCCUUCGGGUUGUAAACUUCUUUUGCUCUGAACAAGGCGCACUUUGGGGUGUGUUGAGUGUAGGGGUUGAUUAGCGCCGGCUAACUACGUGCCAGCAGCCGCGGUAAUACGUAGGGCGCGAGCGUUGUCCGGAAUUAUUGGGCGUAAAGGGCUUGUAGGUGGCUGGUUGCGUCUGUCGUGAAAGCUCAUGGCUUAACUGUGGGUUUGCGGUGGGUACGGGCUGGCUUGAGUGCAGUAGGGGAGGCUGGAAUUCCUGGUGUAGCGGUGGAAUGCGCAGAUAUCAGGAGGAAUACCGGUGGCGAAGGCGGGUCUCUGGGCUGUUACUGACACUGAGGAGCGAAAGCAUGGGGAGCGAACAGG